Molecule: ribosomal RNA, 253 nt
Filed under: uncultured prokaryote
Description: partial 16S ribosomal RNA
Rfam family: Bacterial small subunit ribosomal RNA
Source: RNAcentral
ACGGAGGGAGCUAGCGUUGUUCGGAAUUACUGGGCGUAAAGCGUGCGUAGGUGGUUCGUUAAGUCUGAUGUGAAAGCCCUGGGCUCAACCUGGGAAUGGCAUUGGAUACUGGUGAUCUAGAGUGCGGUAGAGGGCAGUGGAAUUCCCGGUGUAGCAGUGAAAUGCGUAGAGAUCGGGAGGAACAUCUGUGGCGAAGGCGACUGCCUGGACCAGCACUGACACUGAGGCACGAAAGCGUGGGGAGCAAACAGGA